UGAACGGUCACAUUGGAACUGAGACACGGUCCAAACUCCUACGGGAGGCAGCAGUGGGGAAUCUUGCACAAUGGGGGCAACCCUGAUGCAGCGACGCCGCGUGAGCGAUGAAGGCCUUCGGGUCGUAAAGCUCUGUCCUUGAUAAAGAUAAUGACGGUAAUCAAGGAGGAAGCACCGGCUAAAUACGUGCCAGCAGCCGCGGUAAUACGUAUGGUGCGAGCGUUGUCCGGAAUUAUUGGGCGUAAAGGGUACGUAGGCUGUUUAUCAAGUCAGAUGUUAAAGCGUGAGGCUCAACCUCAUAAAGCAUUUGAAACUGGUAGACUUGAGUAGUGGAGAGGAAAGUGGAAUUCCUAGUGUAGCGGUGAAAUGCGUAGAUAUUAGGAGGAAUACCAGUAGCGAAGGCGACUUUCUGGACACAAACUGACGCUGAGGUACGAAAGCGUGGGGAGCAAACAGGAUUAGAUACCCUGGUAGUCCA
This 478-nucleotide ribosomal RNA is filed under the name uncultured Parvimonas sp. RNAcentral describes it as "bacterial SSU rRNA". It matches the Rfam family "Bacterial small subunit ribosomal RNA", at positions 301 to 797 of the family's 1533-position model. Lineage: Bacteria; Bacillati; Bacillota; Tissierellia; Tissierellales; Peptoniphilaceae. The record is from RNAcentral.